CUGUUUGAUAACCGGUUCGCCGUGGCGAAUAGCUGAUUCUCCGCGUUUCACCGGUUUUUUUGAUGUUUGAUAAAGUUUCGGAGAAUUUGGCGUAUUUGGAGUCAACUAUCUAUACACCGGAUUUUUUGGUCAAAAUACACCCAUUCACCAAAAAAACUCGGCGAAUCCACCAUUUUUUCGCCUACCCAAAUAGGUGUUUUUUCAUUCACCGUGAAUUCGCCAAAGAUUAUUCGCCAGACUAUAUAACAUAAAAAAAAAAAAAACACAACCUAAAACUCGAUCUCUCUCUCUCUCUAAUGGCGGCCGCAACCUAAAACUCGAUCUCUCUUUCUCACCCUCACCACCGCAACCAAAACUCCAUCUCUCUCUCUCUCUCUCUCUCAACUCUUCUCCCUCUCUAUUUUCAUUAGUCUCCACCACCACUACUACCCACCACCACCACCGCUGUGAUUCUUCAUCGCUGUGAUUCUUCUCGUCUUCUUCUCGCUGGGUAAGCAUCUUCUUCUCACCCUUACUCUUUUAUCUUCAUCUGUUGUUUAAUUAAAUGGCUGUAAAUUGAUUGCAACUGCCGAAGGCACGGGUCAGCUGCUAGUAUAUGAAUAUAUCAACAUAACAAUAUGUGAAACCUAGCCGUCUCCCUUCUCCUUCUUCUUUCUCUAACUCGAUCUAACCAGUAUCCAUCUUCAUCUCCAGUUGGUGCCUUGGUGGUAACUUCAUACUUCAUUGUUAAGAAAAAAGGAUUGAAAAAAGGAUUGAAGAAAGCUGGA
RNAcentral lists this long non-coding RNA (767 nucleotides) under Aquilegia coerulea. RNAcentral describes it as "long non-coding RNA (ACOE_LNC001082)". Lineage: Eukaryota; Viridiplantae; Streptophyta; Magnoliopsida; Ranunculales; Ranunculaceae. The record is from RNAcentral.